UUCAUUCUGCUUUGGUCCUAACUGUUGUUUGGGAGCCUCCUGAUGCUGCAUAACAUUCUGGUUUGGCAUUUUAGCUCUCCAUUCCUGAACUACUCUAGGCUUUUGCAUUUGAUUAGGUUGGGAAGGUUUGGGAAUAGCCAGACAGUUAUGUCCAACCAUAAGGCACUUCUCACAGUAUGUUGGUUUCCAAUCGUAUGCCACUUCCUGCACAAAUUUCUUCCCAUUUGGAUCUAUUAGCUCUAUC
This 244-nucleotide long non-coding RNA is filed under the name Nicotiana benthamiana. RNAcentral's name for it is "long non-coding RNA (NBEN_LNC027948)". Lineage: Eukaryota; Viridiplantae; Streptophyta; Magnoliopsida; Solanales; Solanaceae. The record is from RNAcentral.